RNAcentral lists this ribosomal RNA (1304 nucleotides) under metagenome. RNAcentral's name for it is "bacterial LSU rRNA". It matches the Rfam family "Bacterial large subunit ribosomal RNA", at positions 1633 to 2925 of the family's 2925-position model. The record is from RNAcentral.
CCUACACGACCGUACCGCAAACCGACACUGGUGCGCGAGAUGAGUAUUCUAAGGCGCUUGAGAGAACUCAGGAGAAGGAACUCGGCAAAUUGACACCGUAACUUCGGAAGAAGGUGUGCCUUUAGUAGGUGAAGUCCCUCGCGGAUGGAGCCCAAUGAGGUUGCAAAGAAUCGGUGGCUGCGACUGUUUAUUAAAAACACAGCACUCUGCAAACACGAAAGUGGACGUAUAGGGUGUGACGCCUGCCCGGUGCUGGAAGAUUAAAUGAUGGGGUGCAAGCUCUUGAUUGAAGUCCCAGUAAACGGCGGCCGUAACGAUAACGGUCCUAAGGUAGCGAAAUUCCUUGUCGGGUAAGUUCCGACCUGCACGAAUGGCGUAACGAUGGCCACACUGUCUCCUCCUGAGACUCAGCGAAGUUGAAAUGUUUGUGAUGAUGCAAUCUCCCUGCGGAAAGACGGAAAGACCCCAUGAACCUUUACUGUAGCUUUGUAUUGGACUUUGAACAGAUCUGUGUAGGAUAGGUGGGAGGCUUUGAAGCAGGGUCGCUAGAUCUUGUGGAGCCAACGUUGAAAUACCACCCUGGUGUGUUUGAGGUUCUAACCUAGGCCCGUAAUCCGGGUUGGGGACAGUGCAUGGUAGGCAGUUUGACUGGGGCGGUCUCCUCCCAAAGUGUAACGGAGGAGUUCGAAGGUACGCUAGUUACGGUCGGACAUCGUGACGAUAGUGCAAUGGCAUAAGCGUGCUUAACUGCGAGACUGACAAGUCGAGCAGAUGCGAAAGCAGGACAUAGUGAUCCGGUGGUUCUGUAUGGAAGGGCCAUCGCUCAACGGAUAAAAGGUACUCUGGGGAUAACAGGCUGAUACCGCCCAAGAGUUCAUAUCGACGGCGGUGUUUGGCACCUCGAUGUCGGCUCAUCUCAUCCUGGGGCUGUAGCCGGUCCCAAGGGUAUGGCUGUUCGCCAUUUAAAGAGGUACGUGAGCUGGGUUUAAAACGUCGUGAGACAGUUUGGUCCCUAUCUUCCGUGGGCGCUGCAGAUUUGAGGAAGCCUGCUCCUAGUACGAGAGGACCGGAGUGGACGCACCUCUGGUGUAUCGGUUGUCACGCCAGUGGCAUUGCCGAGUAGCUAUGUGCGGAAGAGAUAACCGCUGAAAGCAUCUAAGCGGGAAACUCGUUUCAAGAUGAGAUCUGCCGGGGCCUUGAGCCCCCUGAAGAGUCGUUCAAGACCAGGACGUUGAUAGGUCGGGUGUGGAAGCGCAGUAAUGCGUUAAGCUAACCGAUACUAAUUGCUCGUGCGGCUUGACCCU